UAAACAAUGGUUUGCUAAUUUCGUUAUGUAUGUUAAUUUCUCUUUUUCAAUGCUAAUUUUGAGGGUUUUUUACACGGUUAUUGGAUUUUUUAAAAAAACCGGUUAUAACCGAGAAAAAAAUAUAACCGAAAAAAACCGGUUAAUUGAAACUAAAAACCGGUUUUCGGUUAUAACCGGUAGGUUUUUCCCAUCCCUACUUUCGAUUUAUUCACAGUUUAAUUGGCACAUUCGGAUUUCAAAUCCCAGGUGAUCAUCCCUUUGAGCGACCGUGACAUCACAAAUUUGAAGACCCCCUCAUCUCUUACCUAAAAAUUUUUCCCCGAUUUUACGUAAAAAUAAUAAUGAUAAAUAUAUAUAAAAUAGUAUAAAAUAUGAGUUAUAUUUACACUAAUAUUUUGCUACCCAGUGGCGUAUUCGGGAAGUGCUUUGGUGGCAUAUGCCCCCUUAAAAAUACGUUAAUGAAAAUGAUUAUAGCUAAUAACUGAAAAUUUAAUAUUCUUUGGCUAAUUAUUA
Molecule: long non-coding RNA, 513 nt
Filed under: Androctonus crassicauda
Lineage: Eukaryota; Metazoa; Arthropoda; Arachnida; Scorpiones; Buthidae
Source: RNAcentral